UCAGAGAACCGAAGGGUGAGAGAAAAAAACAAACAAAAAAACAAUAAAAAACACUCUCUAACUGUCAAUAUUGUCAGGAGAAAGAUGCGAAAAACAGAUGCUAGACGAGGAUAAAAUGAGAGAAGAAACCAGAGGGGGCUCAAAAGAACCGUUAUCUGCUCAGACCCUACUGUGACGAUUCUACCAAUCGCGAGGAAGAGUCCGUGAAUAUUAUGUCAGCACUCCGUCCAAACAACGCCGUCGACCAGAGCGCCAGGGCCAGCUCGCCAGAACUUUUCCUGCCUCACCACGAUUUCUACAACGAUGAUUUCACGCAAGUGGACUACGACGCUAUCGAUAGCACGGUGAGGAGCACCAUAAAUCCGGCCGUUUUCCAAGGCGAUUUAGACGCCAUCCUCCCCGCAGAACCUCCGCUGCCGAUCG
This is a long non-coding RNA of Oreochromis niloticus (Nile tilapia), 423 nucleotides long. RefSeq lists it as uncharacterized. Lineage: Eukaryota; Metazoa; Chordata; Actinopteri; Cichliformes; Cichlidae. The record is from RefSeq and is a predicted model, not a curated record. The transcript has 3 exons.